Molecule: non-coding RNA, 72 nt
Organism: Podarcis lilfordi (Lilford's wall lizard)
Lineage: Eukaryota; Metazoa; Chordata; Lepidosauria; Squamata; Lacertidae
Source: the annotation of a GenBank genome assembly
GGGGAAAUAGCUUAGUGGCAGAGCAUCUUCUUUGCAUGCAGAAGGUCUCAGGUUCAGUCCCCAGCAUCUCCA